Molecule: ribosomal RNA, 383 nt
Filed under: uncultured eukaryote
Lineage: Eukaryota
Description: partial 18S ribosomal RNA
Rfam family: Eukaryotic small subunit ribosomal RNA
Source: RNAcentral
CAAUAGCGUAUAUUAAAGUUGUUGCGGUUAAAAAGCUCGUAGUUGGAUCUCGGCAGGCAGGGGGUGGUUCGCUCUUAGCGCUACUGCCCCAUUUGCCUGUGUGAUUGGCGGAGGUUUCGGGGUGCUCUUCGUUGAGUGACCCGGGGCGCCGUCAGGUUUACUUUGAAAAAAUUAGAGUGCUCAAAGCAGGCUUUUCACGCUUGAAUAUUCGUGCAUGGAAUAAUGGAAUAGGAACUCGUUUCUAUUUUGUUGGUUUUCGGAAAUCGAGUUAAUGAUUAAUAGGGACAAUUGGGGGCAUUAGUAUUCAGACGACAGAGGUGAAAUUCUUGGACCGUCUGAAGACUAACUACUGCGAAAGCAUUUACCAAGAGUGUUUUCAUUAA